GCGAGUAUGGCCCUCACGGGUCUAAUCCACCAUAAACACCUUUUGUGAACCAGUCAGGGGGGACUCGGCCGUGAAAGCCAGGCGAUUAGCGGAAGGGCCCUCCUUUGCAAACCCGUUUAGAAGUCUUGAAAGUACUUUUGUAUAAUCUAGUA
Molecule: unclassified non-coding RNA, 152 nt
Filed under: soil metagenome
Description: partial internal transcribed spacer 1
Source: RNAcentral